This 254-nucleotide ribosomal RNA is filed under the name uncultured bacterium. RNAcentral describes it as "partial 16S ribosomal RNA". It matches the Rfam family "Bacterial small subunit ribosomal RNA", at positions 524 to 776 of the family's 1533-position model. The record is from RNAcentral.
GACAUAGGUGGCAAACGUUAUCCGGAAUUAUUGGGCGUAAAGGGUGCGUAGGUGGUUUAAUAAGUUAUUGGUGGGAAAACGGGGCCCAACUCCGUGGAAGCUAGUAAUACUAUUAGACUAGAGGACCGGAGAGGUUAACGGAAUGGCUCGUGUAGGGGUAAAAUCCGUAAAUACGAGUUGGAACACCAAAAGGCGAAGGCAGUUAACUAUUCUGUUACUGACAUUGAGGCACGAAAGCGUGGGGAGCAAAACGG